AAGUCGUAACAAGGUUUCCGUAGGUGAACCUGCGGAAGGAUCAUUAUGAAGGGUUAAGGUUUAUGUUAGAUUGUGAAAUGGUGUGUGCUGCCUGCAAGGGUUAUGAUUGAUUGAUUACUGGGGUGAUUGAUUGAUUUACCAGAGGGGGGGGGGGCACACACAAAAUAACAAGAACGAUUAUGGGAUGGAUAAAAAAAAAAAGGUGGUUUUAUUUAUUAUUACUACCACACACAAUAACAAAAAUAACAACUUUUAACAAUGGAUCUCUAGGCUCUU
Molecule: unclassified non-coding RNA, 276 nt
Filed under: fungal sp.
Lineage: Eukaryota; Fungi
Description: partial internal transcribed spacer region
Rfam family: Eukaryotic small subunit ribosomal RNA (bases 1-46)
Source: RNAcentral